CUGUGCGCAUGCGCCCUGCGUGGACUGCUGGAGUGGAGGCUGCUUUGGCGGCGGUUCGGAGACGCGGCAGCAGACAAUCCACGAGGCUCUUGGGGACCUGGAUGUGAAAGGGUUCGCGCGGCAUUUGCUACCCUAUUGUUAUGCUGCAAAGCAUCUGAUUGUGUGGACAUACUAAGCCAUGGUUCUCAAAGUAUGGCACCUGGACCAGCAACAUCACAAGCCAUCACCUGGAAACUUGGCUUCAGCCCCACCGGCCACUGAAGUGCCCCUGCGUGGACCGCCAAGGUCCUUCCACC
Molecule: long non-coding RNA, 296 nt
Organism: Myotis brandtii (Brandt's bat)
Lineage: Eukaryota; Metazoa; Chordata; Mammalia; Chiroptera; Vespertilionidae
Exons: 3
Source: RefSeq, a predicted model, not a curated record